RNAcentral lists this long non-coding RNA (561 nucleotides) under Mustela putorius furo (domestic ferret). RNAcentral's name for it is "lncRNA (ENSMPUG00000029721.1)". Lineage: Eukaryota; Metazoa; Chordata; Mammalia; Carnivora; Mustelidae. The record is from RNAcentral.
UUUGGAGGGAGGGAGAAAAGUCCUGUUGUGUGGUGGUUCACACGUGUGCCUCCUUUGCUGGGUUAUCUCGCUGUCAACAGGCGGCAGAGGGGCCUACAGAGGCCCCUCCUUCCUCUGGAGCCUCCUUCAGCUUCUCUGUCUCCGGCGCCACGUGUGUGUUUAGCUUUCUGACGAAGGGCCACCAACAUCAAAGGUCCAUCCAGGUUGUCGCAAAUGCAGGAUCUCAUCCUUUUUUACGGCACCAUGGUAGAUUCCGGGAAUGCAGAGGUCAGUGAGCCAAAGCCCCUGUUCAGCACAUGGACUUAGUUUCGGCUGAGGAGUCAGCUUGUGGGCACCUGGAAGUGUGAUGAGGGAAGCACUUGGGAUGGGGCAGCCACAGCAUCCAAGCAGACUGCUUUUGAAAUGAGAUGUGGAAGAACUGACAUGUAAAGAUCUGAGGAUGGAGAGGUCCAGGCAGAAGAACACAGACAUCAGAAUCCUAGAGGAGAACAUAGGCAGUAAUCUCUUCGAUUUCAGCCACAGCAACUUCUUUCAAGAUAUGUCUCCAAAGGCAAAGGAAAC